UAGGGAAUCUUCCACAAUGGACGAAAGUCUGAUGGAGCAACGCCGCGUGAGUGAUGAAGGGUUCGGCUCGUAAAACUCUGUUGUUGGAGAAGAACGGGUGUCAGAGUAACUGUUGACAUCGUGACGGUAUCCAACCAGAAAGCCACGGCUAACUACGUGCCAGCAGCCGCGGUAAUACGUAGGUGGCAAGCGUUGUCCGGAUUUAUUGGGCGUAAAGCGAGCGCAGGCGGUUUUUUAGGUCUGAUGUGAAAGCCUUCGGCUUAACCGGAGAAGUGCAUCGGAAACCGGGAGACUUGAGUGCAGAAGAGGACAGUGGAACUCCAUGUGUAGCGGUGAAAUGCGUAGAUAUAUGGAAGAACACCAGUGGCGAAGGCGGCUGUCUGGUCUGCAACUGACGCUGAGGCUCGAAAGCAUGGGUAGCGAACAGGAUUAGAUACCCUGGUAGUCCAUGCCGUAAACGAUGAGUGCUAAGUGUUGGAGG
Molecule: ribosomal RNA, 481 nt
Filed under: uncultured bacterium
Lineage: Bacteria
Description: partial 16S ribosomal RNA
Rfam family: Bacterial small subunit ribosomal RNA
Source: RNAcentral